GCAGUUGUGGUUCAGUGGUUAAAGCUUUAGCUUGCUAAUUAGAUGGUCAGGGGUUCGAUCCCCAACACCACCC
Pangasius djambal is the source of this 73-nucleotide non-coding RNA. The record is from the annotation of a GenBank genome assembly. Lineage: Eukaryota; Metazoa; Chordata; Actinopteri; Siluriformes; Pangasiidae.